RNAcentral lists this unclassified non-coding RNA (492 nucleotides) under Hevea brasiliensis (rubber tree). Lineage: Eukaryota; Viridiplantae; Streptophyta; Magnoliopsida; Malpighiales; Euphorbiaceae. The record is from RNAcentral.
AAAAAGUUUGCUACUGGAGCUUCCUUGGUGAAGGGCCCAACUGAGAAGGAGCAGAUUGACGUUCAAGGAGACAUAGCUUACGACAUUGUGGAAUUUAUUACAAAAACCUGGCCCGAUGUUCCAGAAUCUGCAAUAUUCUUUAUAGAAGAUGGGAAAAAGGUUCCUGCUGCAUAAACUCAGUACUCUUUAUUCCUGCUUGCAGCAAGGUGUUUUAUUAGGUGCGAUGCUCAUAUCAAUAUGAUAAAAUUUUGGAGUGAGAAUAUGUAUUGGAGCUAUUGAUGCUCUUAUCCCGUCCAGUCCUUUUCCCUGCAGUAACUGAGAGAAUCCAAGAAACACAAUGGGAUUUUGCAGUUUAGAUAUGGUUUGGUUUGAUUUGGUUUGGUGGCAGCAUAUGUGCUUGUACAGUUGCUGCAAUACUAUUUUGUUUCUGAAAUUUGGUAUUAUACUGUAUGUUGUGAUAGUAUCUGUUUUUUAUUGAAUGGUAAUCAUAUU